GGGUUUUAUUAUUUUUUUAAUUUAUGCAACGCAUCCUCUAGUUCUUUCCUUGAGAUCACUGAGGUUAAACAGCCAUUUUGAUUGUCACCGAUUGAGGGCAGGUCCAAUGAGUUUAAAAAUGUUUUUAUAUUCUCUUUACAAUCUUGUUUUGUUUGGGAGUACAGCUUCCUGUAGUAUGUUUGGAAUGCAGCAUCAAUUUCAUCCAAAUUGUUAUACGUUUGUCCUGUUCCUGUGUCCAAAAUUUUAUAGACUGAUUGUGAAAUCUGUUUUUUCCGUAUUCUCUUUGCCAAACACUUUGUAGCUCUGGGACCUACUUCAUAAUAUGAUUGUUUUAAGUAUUUAUAUUUUUCGUCUAACUCGUCUUUAUAGCAAUUUGAUAUAUGAUUUCUGAUUUCUUUAAUUUCACACAUUAUCUGUUCGCUCUGAUUCUCACUGUGCCUUUUUUCUAGUUCACCCAGUUUUUUUUCAAGUUGAUUAAGUCUAUUUUCUUUUGCCUUCUUCAUAGCUGCGCUAAGAGAUAUCAGUUUGCCCCUGACAACUGCCUUUAAAGUGUCCCAGAGAAUAUUUGGGUUUACUUCCCCAUUAUCAUUUAUUCUGAGAAAGUCCUGUAUUUCAGCUUUUACCUGCUGUACCACCGUCUCCUUAUUAAGAAGGCUUGUAUUGAGUCUCCAGUUUGUUUUCUUGGGUCUACUGUCUAAACACAAUGUCAGGUAUAAUGGAGAAUGAUCUGAUAUAUCCCUAGUUCCAAUAUCGCAGGACUGAAUCCUAUGUCUAUCAUUCCUAAAGAUAAAGAAAAAAUCUAUUCUCGAGUACUCUGUGUGGGGCGCAGAAAAGUAUGUGUAGGUUUUCUCCGUUGGGUGUAGGUCUCUCCACACGUCCAGUAAGCCAAUCUCCUCCAGACCCCUUCUCAGUAUUUUAGUUUGAGGUGAUAUCAUCCUUUUAUUGUUUGAUGUAUCCAAUCUAUUUAUUACCGUGUUAAAAUCUCCUGCACUGAUUAAUGUACCUUGUGAUUCUGAAGCGAUAAGCUCCAGAACUUUCUUGAAAAGUUUUGGGUCACUCUGUGGAGGAAGAUAAACUGAAAGAAGGGUAGUCAUUUGAUCUUCUAUUUUACCUUGCACUAGAAUAUAUCUGCCUUCACUGUCCCUUAUUUCUUUGACUAAUUCAAAAUGUAUGGAGUUAUGUAAUAAUAUCGCAACACCUCUUUUGUGGCCUUUUUUAAACAAACUAUAAAAUAUGUUCCUGUACCCAAACUUCCUUAGUUUUUCAUGCUCACUUUGAGAUAAAUGAGUUUCCUGUAAAAAAAUGAUUUUUCCCCUUCUUUAUCUUAGCCAUUACUUUACUCCUCUUAACUGGGUUAUUUAAACCAUUCACAUUCCAAGAAGCUGCUCUAAAGCUGCUAUAGCCCAUCAUCACAAUUAAGAUCGAAUAUGCCGACAAAACAAACACAAUAACAACAGAUAUAACCAAAAGGCACCUCUAGAACGAGUGCAACAUUGACUUCCAAUCUCAGGGUGUUACUAUACCCUAUCAACCUCUCAUAUUGUUCAUUCAAG
Clupea harengus (Atlantic herring) is the source of this 1553-nucleotide long non-coding RNA. NCBI's taxonomy places the organism in Eukaryota, Metazoa, Chordata, Actinopteri, Clupeiformes, Clupeidae. The record is from Ensembl.